Molecule: ribosomal RNA, 510 nt
Filed under: Triticum aestivum (bread wheat)
Lineage: Eukaryota; Viridiplantae; Streptophyta; Magnoliopsida; Poales; Poaceae
Description: partial small subunit ribosomal RNA
Source: RNAcentral
AUGAACGUGGCGCUCAUACUUCGUUGGGUUUGGCAGAUCUUGCGGGGAGAUGGAGGUUUGUGGCUGCAACUGAUUGAGUCCAAGCAGCCCCUCUUAGCUUGCUCGCACUCGGCUAGGUCCCAGUUUUGGAAAUCUGUCCAGGCCAUUAAGGAUGAGAUUAGGCUGGGUUUGCAGUUCUCGGUUGGUAAUGGGUCUGGGACCCAAUUUUGGUUGGACCCCUGGCUUGAUGGGGAGCCUCUCCGCAUGCGGUUUCCGAGGCUCUUUGCGAUUUUUGACGACCCGGCUGUUCUUGUUUCUGCGGCUGCUUUGGAUGAGGGAUGGAACACUGCGUUCUGCCGCUCAUUCGGACCAGCAGAGGUGCAGGAAUGGGCAAACUUGAGGGAACUAGUACCUCUUCCUUUGUCCCAGGAUCCUGACACUGUUUCUUGGAGUCUUUCUCCUUCGGGAGAAUUCUCCAUAAGUUCCGCUUAUCAGGCGCUAUGCUGGCUACCAGUUCUUAUUACCUCUUGA